This 1796-nucleotide long non-coding RNA is filed under the name Sus scrofa (pig). RNAcentral's name for it is "lncRNA (ENSSSCG00040069041.1)". The record is from RNAcentral. Lineage: Eukaryota; Metazoa; Chordata; Mammalia; Artiodactyla; Suidae.
GCCGAGUGUCUCGCCGCCAGCGGAGGGGGCGCGCGCCUUUCGGAACCUUCCAGAGAAAACGCGGCCCCGGUUCUGCUCUGUCCCGCCCUCGGGAAGGGAGCGACCAGAGGCUCCGCCCUGCCGAGUUCCCGCGCAGGAGGGACGCAGGGAGAAGACGACAACCAUCUCUGAACCAGGGAGAGAGCCCUGACCAAGAACCAAAUCUGCUGGUGCCUUGAUCUCCAGAGCUGUGAAGAAUUCAUGUCUAAGCUCAAUAUGACCUCCUCGAGGGGCGUUUUUCCGGCAGUCUUAUGACCACCACCACCCCACCUCAAGCCUGCUCCAGCCUCAGGCUCCUCAGGGCCGUUCCUGCGGCAUAUGGAGAUUCCCAGACUAGGGGUCUAAUCAGAGCUGUAGCUGCCGACCUACACCAGAGCCACAGCAACGCGGGGUCCGCCUCGUCUGUGACCUACACCACAGCUCACAGCAACGCAGGAUCCUUAACCCACUGAGCAAGGCCAGGGAUUGAACCUGCAACCUCAUGGUUCCUCGUCGGAUUCGUUAACCACUGUGCUACGACGGGAUCUCCUCAUAACAUUUCUUGAGGAUUCAAGUCAAUUUCCCCAGAAUUAACCCUCCGUUCUUUAAUAGAAUGGCUUUUUAAAAGUCAUCUCCUCCAAGAAAGAUGAAAGGACUGAUCAAUCGCCCUUUCAUUUCAAACAUGAAAUUGGUAAAUAGCAUAUGCCCUCUGUUCUUGUGCAAGUUUGUAGCCCAAAUCAAAUUUCCCAGAAAUGGACAAUGAAGAACAACUGCUGCCAUCUCGCUGACAACCUUAGAGACAUCUGACCCUCUUCUGGCACACUGUGGGCAAGUAUUCUCUAAAACUCUUCAUCCCAAGUGAAUAAGUAUGAGGCCACACAGCCCAUGGAUUUUCGAAUUCUGUUUUUAUUUUUGUUUUUGUUUUUUGAGUCUAUUUAUACAAGAUGGUUUGCCAACAUUUUGUUCCGUCAUGGUGAAUACAUUUAUGGUAAGACAAGAUGUCCCUGGAAUACAGUGGUAAAAGUGUAAUUUAUUGUUUCAGAUCUUGGAGAAAGGAUGGGGCGGGGGGAGAUGGUAAGGCAAUAAAAGAAAUUCACCCACUUUAACUCAGGAGGUGCCAAUUUUAAUAGAAACACUCAUACUCUUAUUACAAAUUUCUCUCUUCUCAAAUGCUCUUUUAUAUAUGACUAUAAAAGAAGCAAAAAAAGUGCAACCACUGUGGAAAACAGUAUGGAGAUUCCUCAUAAAACUAAAAAUAGAACUACCACUUGAUCUAGCAAUCCCACUCCUGGGCAUCUGUCCAGAGAAAACCAUGACUCAAAAAGAUACACGUACUCCAAUGUUCAUUGCAGCAUGAUAUACAAUAGCCAAGACAUGGAAACAACCUACAUGUCCAUUGACAGAAGAGUGGAUAAAGAUAUGGUGCAUAUACACAAUGGAAGAUUACUCAGCCAUUAAAAGGAAAGAAAUAACAGCAUUUGCAGCAACAUGGAUGGACCUAGAAAUUAUCAUGCUAAGUGAAGUCAGUCAGACAGUGAGACACCAACAUCAUAUGCUCUCACUUACAUGUGAAUCUAAAAAAAGGACACAAUGAACCUCUUUGCAGAACAGAUACUGACUCACAGACUUUGAAAAACUUACGGUUUCCAAAUGAGACAGGUUAGGGGGUGAGGGGUUGCGCUGGGGGUUUGGGAUGGAAAUACUAUAAAAUUGGGUUGUAAUGAUCAUUGUGCAACUAUAAAUGUAAUAAAAUUAAUUGAGUAAAAAAAAAGAAGCAA